Podarcis lilfordi (Lilford's wall lizard) is the source of this 105-nucleotide non-coding RNA. NCBI's taxonomy places the organism in Eukaryota, Metazoa, Chordata, Lepidosauria, Squamata, Lacertidae. The record is from the annotation of a GenBank genome assembly.
CCAUCCUGCUGGCUGUCUUGGCUUCUGCCAAAGCCGCGCACAGCCUCUCCUGGCUGGAGAGGUUGCACGCGGCUAAAGAGGAAGCCAAGACAGCCAGCAGGAUGG